Molecule: ribosomal RNA, 433 nt
Filed under: uncultured bacterium
Lineage: Bacteria
Description: partial 16S ribosomal RNA
Rfam family: Bacterial small subunit ribosomal RNA
Source: RNAcentral
AACGAACGCUGGCGGCAUGCCUAACACAUGCAAGUCGAACGAACACAUCAGGUCUUUUGGCGCACGGCUGCGUCACGCGUGGGGACAUUCACUUGGGUUCGGCAUAACUCCAAGACUGGGAUAACAAUACCAGAUCGUAUCUUAUGCCCGAUGAUAUAUCGAAUUUGGUUGGUCCCGAGUGGAAUUAGCUGGUUGGUAGGGUAAAAGACUACCACGGCGACGAUCCAUAGCUGGUCUGAGAGGAUGAUCAGCCACACUGGGAGUGAGACACGGCCCAGACUCCUACGGGAGGGAGCAGUGGGGAAUAGUGGAAAGUGGGCGAAAGCCUGAUCCAGCAAGGCCGGGUGAGUGAUGUAGGCAGUAGGGUUGUAAAGCGUUUUUACCCGUGAUGAUAAUGACAGUACCGGGAGAAUAAGCUCCGGCUAACUCCGUG